UAGAAGGAGGCAGAUCAUCUCAAGCGACCCCAGUGGGAAUUAAGUCAAGUUCAGAACCUUCGUCCUUCUGAAAUGGCCUGCAGGAAGCCAGCCAGGUGCCAGGAAGCCUCCAUACCUUACUGUGAAGGGCCUCACAAAACCACCUUGCAGUGAAGGCAUUGCUCCACUCACUUUGCAGAUAUGGAAACUGAGGCUCAGAAAGAAGUAACUUGGCUUGUCACAUGAUCUGCCUCUUUAAUCAGUGGAGGAAAAUGCAUGUGUUUUGAGCCUCAGCUUUGCAACCCAGCUCUGGAAAUCACUUCUCGGAGCAGCAGUACCUCCAUCAGUUAUGCCAGGAUAAUAAACUCUAGCUCCUAGGGUUUUGGAGCGGGGAAAUUAGAGAUGAUCUUGGUGAAGGCUUGAGAAACCAUAACACUUCAGUAAAUAGUAGUUUC
RNAcentral lists this small RNA (434 nucleotides) under Pongo abelii (Sumatran orangutan). RNAcentral describes it as "sense intronic". Lineage: Eukaryota; Metazoa; Chordata; Mammalia; Primates; Hominidae. The record is from RNAcentral.